UCUUCCAUAGCUCAGUUGGCUAGAGCGUCUGACUGUUAAUCAGGAGGUCGUAAGUUCGAGCCUUACUGGAAGAG
This 74-nucleotide transfer RNA is filed under the name Ophiocordyceps sinensis CO18. RNAcentral's name for it is "tRNA-Asn (GTT) (tRNA-Asn-GTT-2-1)". It matches the Rfam family "tRNA". Rfam says of the family: Transfer RNA (tRNA) molecules are approximately 80 nucleotides in length. Their secondary structure includes four short double-helical elements and three loops (D, anti-codon, and T loops). Further hydrogen bonds mediate the characteristic L-shaped molecular structure. tRNAs have two regions of fundamental functional importance: the anti-codon, which is responsible for specific mRNA codon recognition, and the 3' end, to which the tRNAs corresponding amino acid is attached (by aminoacyl-tRNA synthetases). tRNAs cope with the degeneracy of the genetic code in two manners: having more than one tRNA (with a specific anti-codon) for a particular amino acid; and 'wobble' base-pairing, i.e. permitting non-standard base-pairing at the 3rd anti-codon position. Lineage: Eukaryota; Fungi; Ascomycota; Sordariomycetes; Hypocreales; Ophiocordycipitaceae. The record is from RNAcentral.